This 459-nucleotide ribosomal RNA is filed under the name uncultured bacterium. Its description in RNAcentral is "bacterial SSU rRNA". It matches the Rfam family "Bacterial small subunit ribosomal RNA", at positions 28 to 507 of the family's 1533-position model. The record is from RNAcentral.
GAUGAACGUUGGCGGCGUGCCUAAUACAUGCAAGUCGAACGAAGACUGUAGUAAUACUGUCUUAGUGGCGAACGGGUGAGUAACGCGUGGGUGACCUGCCCCGAAGUGUGGGAUAACAGUUCGAAAGAACUGCUAAUACCGCAUAACAUCCAAGAGAUUAGAAGCUUUUGGAUUAAAGGAGUAAUUCGCUUCGGGAGGGGCCCGCGUCCCAUCAGCUAGUUGGUAAGGUAAUGGCUUACCAAGGCGAUGACGGGUAGGGGACCUGAGAGGGUGGCCCCCCACAAUGGAACUGAAACACGGUCCAUACACCUACGGGUGGCAGCAGUAGGGAAUAUUAGUAAUGGGCGAAAGCCUGAACUAGCAACGCCGCGUGUGCGAAGAAGGCCUUCGGGUUGUAAAGCACUUUUGAGAGGAUGAGGAAGGACGGUACUCUCAGAAUAAGUCUCGGCUAACUACGUG